AUGGAGGUGAUGAUCGUUUCCCCAAAAAUGAUCGACUUUGAUCAUAUUGUGCGUUUUUGUAUUUUCAAGAAAACCAGAUUCAAGAAAAUCAGCUUCAA
Macleaya cordata is the source of this 98-nucleotide small nucleolar RNA. It matches the Rfam family "Small nucleolar RNA Z103". Rfam says of the family: This family consists of several snoRNA Z103 sequences which are members of the C/D class of snoRNA which contain the C (UGAUGA) and D (CUGA) box motifs. NCBI's taxonomy places the organism in Eukaryota, Viridiplantae, Streptophyta, Magnoliopsida, Ranunculales, Papaveraceae. The record is from Rfam.